RNAcentral lists this unclassified non-coding RNA (373 nucleotides) under soil metagenome. RNAcentral's name for it is "partial contains 5.8S ribosomal RNA, internal transcribed spacer 2, and large subunit ribosomal RNA". The stretch from base 1 to 121 matches the Rfam family "5.8S ribosomal RNA", at positions 35 to 154 of the family's 154-position model. The record is from RNAcentral.
GAUGAAGAACGUAGCGAAAUGCGAUAAGUAAUGCGAAUUGCAGAAUUCCAGUGAGUCAUCGAAUCUUUGAACGCACAUUGCGCCCUUUGGUAUUCCGAAGGCCAUGCCUGUUCGAGCGUCAUUAUCACCCCUCAAGCCCUCGGCUUGGUGUUGGACGGUUUGGUGGAGGCCCCCUCGGGGGCUCCUGCCCCUCCCAAAGACAAUGACGGCGGCCUCGUUGGACCCCCGGUACACUGAGUUCUUCACGGGACACGUAUCGGACACAUGGGUUUACGGGACACGGUCUGCCUCCCCUCAGGGAGAAUCUUUCUAAGGUUGACCUCGGAUCAGGUAGGGAUACCCGCUGAACUUAAGCAUAUCAAUAAGCGGAGGA